GUUGUAGUCUGGAGAAGUGCUUUCCGCGCUGGACCGUGUACAAGUCUCUUGGAAUAGAGCGUCAUAGAGGGUGAGAAUCCCGUCUUUGACACGGACUACCAGUGCUUUGUGAUGCGCUCUCAAAGAGUCGAGUUGUUUGGGAAUGCAGCUCAAAAUGGGUGGUAAAUUCCAUCUAAAGCUAAAUAUUGGCGAGAGACCGAUAGCGAACAAGUACCGUGAGGGAAAGAUGAAAAGCACUUUGGAAAGAGAGUUAAACAGUACGUGAAAUUGCUGAAAGGGAAACGCUUGAAGUCAGUCGCGUCGUGUGGGACUCAGCCUUGCUUUUGCUUGGUGCACUUCCUGCAUGACGGGCCAGCAUCAAUUUCGACCGUUGGAUAAGGGCCRAAGGAAUGUGGCACCUCCGGGUGUGUUAUAGCCUUUGGUCGCAUACAACGAUUGGGAUUGAGGAACGCAGCGUGCCGCAAGGUAACGUUUGAGGAUGCUGGCAUAAUGGCUUUAAACGACCCGUCUUGAAACACGGACCAAGGAGUCUAACAUGCCUGCGAGUGUUUGGGUGGAAAACCCGAGCGCGUAAUGAAAGUGAAAGUUGAGACCUCUGUCGUGGAGGGCAUCGACGCCCGGACCAGACGUUUUCUGACGGAUCCGCGGUAGAGCAUGUAUGUUGGGACCCGAAAGAUGGUGAACUAUGCCUGAAUAGGGUGAAGCCAGAGGAAACUCUGGUG
RNAcentral lists this ribosomal RNA (722 nucleotides) under Favolus spatulatus. RNAcentral describes it as "LSU rRNA". It matches the Rfam family "Eukaryotic large subunit ribosomal RNA", at positions 142 to 869 of the family's 3401-position model. Lineage: Eukaryota; Fungi; Basidiomycota; Agaricomycetes; Polyporales; Polyporaceae. The record is from RNAcentral.